AGUGAACGCUGGCGGUAGGCCUAACACAUGCAAGUCGAACGGCAGCACAGUAAGAGCUUGCUCUUACGGGUGGCGAGUGGCGGACGGGUGAGGAAUACAUCGGAAUCUACUUUUUCGUGGGGGAUAACGUAGGGAAACUUACGCUAAUACCGCAUACGACCUACGGGUGAAAGCAGGGGAUCUUCGGACCUUGCGCGAUUGACUGAGCCGAGGUCGGAUUAGCUAGUUGGCGGGGUAAAGGCCCACCACGGCGACGACCCGUAGCUGGUCUGAGAGGAGGAUCAGCCGCACUGGAACUGAGACACGGGCCAGACUCCUACGGGAGGGAGCAGUGGGGAAUAUUGGACAAUGGGCGCAAGCCUGAUCCAGCCAUACCGCGUGGGUGAAGAAGGCCUUCGGGUUGUAAAGCCCUUUUGUUGGGAAAGAAAAGCAGCAGGUUAAUACCCCGCUGUUCUGACGGUACCCAAAGAAUAAGCACCGGCUAACUUCGUG
Molecule: ribosomal RNA, 492 nt
Filed under: uncultured bacterium
Lineage: Bacteria
Description: partial 16S ribosomal RNA
Rfam family: Bacterial small subunit ribosomal RNA
Source: RNAcentral